RNAcentral lists this ribosomal RNA (483 nucleotides) under Triticum aestivum (bread wheat). RNAcentral describes it as "partial small subunit ribosomal RNA". The record is from RNAcentral. Lineage: Eukaryota; Viridiplantae; Streptophyta; Magnoliopsida; Poales; Poaceae.
AGAUGGAUACCUACUACAGAUGGUUCAGCUAAAAUAAAUGUAGAUGGAGGCCUGUCAACUUUGGGAGAGAAAGGGGUGGCAGCAGCUAUAUGCAGAGAUGGUGCGGGUGUUUUCUUGGGUGCUUCAGCAGUGGUAAUGGCUGGAUUGACGGACCCAACGACCUUGGAAGCCCUAGCCUGCAGCGAAGCACUCGCAUUAGCUGAAGAUCUGAACCUUCGUAACCUGACCAUCGCGUCGGACUGCUAUGAAGUGGUCAGAGACAUCAAGAAUGAAGCUUUCCCGUCCUAUGCGGUGAUUCUGAGAGAGAUAAAGCACACUAGUCUUAAUUUUGAUUCUGUUAGCUUUUGUUUUGAGUUUAGAGAGUCCAACUUUGAAGCUCACUCGUUAGCGAAGGGAGCCUCAACUCUGUCAGUUGGACGCCAUGUGUGGCUGGGUGUUACGCCUGAUAUUGCUUGUAUCCCAAACUUUAUGAGCUUUGAAUAA